This 470-nucleotide ribosomal RNA is filed under the name Macaca fascicularis (crab-eating macaque). RNAcentral's name for it is "partial 12S ribosomal RNA". It matches the Rfam family "Bacterial small subunit ribosomal RNA", at positions 872 to 1533 of the family's 1533-position model. The record is from RNAcentral. Lineage: Eukaryota; Metazoa; Chordata; Mammalia; Primates; Cercopithecidae.
CCAGAAUACUACAAGCAACAGCUUGAAACUCAAAGGACUUGACGGUGCUUUACAUCCCCCUAGAGGAGCCUGUUCCAUAAUCGAUAAACCCCGAUCCACCCUACCCUCUCUUGCUCAGCCUAUAUACCGCCAUCUUCAGCAAACCCUAAUGAAGGCCACAAAGUGAGCGCAAACGCCGCCGCCGCGAAUACGUUAGGUCAAGGUGUAGCCCAUGAGACGGUAAAAAAUGGGCUACAUUUUCUAUUUCAGAAAACCCACGAAAACCCUUAUGAAACUUAAGGGUCCAAGGAGGAUUUAGCAGUAAAUUAAGAAUAGAGUGCUUAAUUGAACCAGGCCAUAAAGCGCGCACACACCGCCCGUCACUCCUCUCAAAUAUAUUUAAGGAAUAUCCUAACUAAACGCCCUAAUAUUUAUAUAGAGAGGAUAAGUCGUAACAUGGUAAGCGUACUGGAAGGUGCGCUUGGAUAAAU